RNAcentral lists this unclassified non-coding RNA (333 nucleotides) under uncultured fungus. RNAcentral describes it as "sequence contains ITS1". The stretch from base 1 to 103 matches the Rfam family "5.8S ribosomal RNA", at positions 50 to 154 of the family's 154-position model. Lineage: Eukaryota; Fungi. The record is from RNAcentral.
AAAGUGCGAAAAGUGUCAUGACUUGCAGAUUCCCGAGAGCUGACAAAUCUCUGAAUGCACAUGGCAGUCGGAGCAAGACCCGACUAUGUAUCGUAGAGUGUAGAUGCACAAGCUCUUCAUCAUGCUUCUUUUAAGCGUGGAUCUGCGCUAGCGGAAACGGAGGCUCGUCCUUCUGCCGCGAGCGUCAAGAGCAAAGGGUCGAUGAGCGGGUGCCUCGGCAUUCCGUCUCGUCAGAUGAGACACCGAUGGACUGUAAUCGAUGUCACAUAAUGACCAUUCUUUAUUAUACCUCAUGAGCCACCUCUGCGAUGCAUGACUACCCGCUGAACUUAA